Molecule: unclassified non-coding RNA, 278 nt
Filed under: Hevea brasiliensis (rubber tree)
Lineage: Eukaryota; Viridiplantae; Streptophyta; Magnoliopsida; Malpighiales; Euphorbiaceae
Source: RNAcentral
AUCGGAUCCUGAGACUAGAUGGUAAACUGAUUGUAAGAGACAAUGCAGAGACGAUUGGCGAGAUUGAGAACAUGGCAAAAUCCUUGCACUGGGAUAUCAGAUUUACCUACUCAAAGGAUAACGAGGCAUUGUUGUGUGUUCAGAAGACAAUGUGGCGGCCUGAAGAGUUAGAAUCCAGCACGUAGGCCAUGACUUUGGAUCACGACUAAGAAUAUUUUUUCCAGCGACUCAGUAUGGUAUUUUUCAUUCUCAUUCCUCCCACAAAUUAUUUCUUCUUG